CCUACGGGUGGCAGCAGUCGAGAAUAUUUCACAAUGGGGGAAACCCUGAUGGUGCGACGCCGCGUGGGGGAAUGAAGGUCUCCGGAUUGUAAACCCCUGUCAUGUGGGAGCAAAUUAAAAUGAUAGUCCAACAAGCGGAAGAUACGGCUAACUCUGUGCCAGCAGCCGCGGUAAUACAGAGGGCUCAAGCGUUGUUCGGAAUCACUGGGCGUAAAGCGUGCGUAGGCGGUUGCGUAAGUCGUGUGUGAAAGGCGCGGGCUCAACCCGCGGACGGCACAUGAUACUGCGAGACUAGAGUAAAGGAGGGGGAACCGGAAUUCUCGGUGUAGCAGUGAAAUGCGUAGAUAUCGGGAGGAACACUCGGGGCGAAGGCGGGUUCCUGGACAUUAACUGACGCUGAGGCACGAAGGCCAGGGGAGCGAAAGGGAUUAGAUACCCCAGUAGUC
RNAcentral lists this ribosomal RNA (446 nucleotides) under uncultured bacterium. Its description in RNAcentral is "partial 16S ribosomal RNA". It matches the Rfam family "Bacterial small subunit ribosomal RNA", at positions 338 to 795 of the family's 1533-position model. The record is from RNAcentral.